UACAGAGGUCUCAAGCGUUGUUCGGAUUCAUUGGGCGUAAAGGGUGCGUAGGCGGUGUCGUAAGUCGGAUGUGAAAUCCCGGGGCUUAACUUCGGAACUGCAUUCGAUACUGCGAUACUCGAGGACUCGAGAGGAGAUUGGAAUUCACGGUGUAGCAGUGAAAUGCGUAGAUAUCGUGAGGAAGACCAGUGGCGAAGGUGGAUCUCUGGAGAGUUCCUGACGCUGAGGCACGAAGGCCAGGGGAGCAAACGGG
Molecule: ribosomal RNA, 253 nt
Filed under: uncultured bacterium
Lineage: Bacteria
Description: partial 16S ribosomal RNA
Rfam family: Bacterial small subunit ribosomal RNA
Source: RNAcentral